CAGUCGAACGGUAGCAGGAUGUGCUUGCACAUCGCUGACGAGUGGCGGACGGGUGAGUAAUGCUUGGGAACUUGCCUUUGCGAGGGGGAUAACAGUUGGAAACGACUGCUAAUACCGCAUAAUGUCUACGGACCAAACGGGGCUUAGGCUUCGGCGCAGAGAGAGGCCCAAGUGAGAUUAGCUAGUUGGUGGGGUAAAGGCUCACCAAGGCAACGAUCUCUAGCUGUUCUGAGAGGAAGAUCAGCCACACUGGRACUGAGACACGGYCCAGACUCCUACGGGAGGCAGCAGUGGGGAAUAUUGCACAAUGGGGGAAACCCUGAUGCAGCCAUGCCGCGUGUGUGAAGAAGGCCUUCGGGUUGUAAAGCACUUUCAGUUGUGAGGAAAAGUGAGUAGUUAAUACCUGCUCACCGUGACGUUAACAACAGAAGAAGCACCGGCUAACUCCGUGCCAGCAGCCGCGGUAAUACGGAGGGUGCGAGCGUUAAUCGGAAUUACUGGGCGUAAAGCGCACGCAGGCGGUUUGUUAAGCUAGAUGUGAAAGCCCCGAGCUCAACUUGGGAUGGUCAUUUAGAACUGGCAGACUAGAGUCUUGGAGAGGGGAGUGGAAUUCCAGGUGUAGCGGUGAAAUGCGUAGAUAUCUGGAGGAACAUCAGUGGCGAAGGCGACUCCCUGGCCAAAGACUGACGCUCAUGUGCGAAAGUGUGGGUAGCGAACAGGAUUAGAUACCCUGGUAGUCCACACCGUAAACGCUGUCUACUAGCUGUUUGUGRCUUUAAGUCGUGAGUAGCGAAGCUAACGCGAUAAGUAGACCGCCUGGGGAGUACGGCCGCAAGGUUAAAACUCAAAUGAAUUGACGGGGGCCCGCACAAGCGGUGGAGCAUGUGGUUUAAUUCGAUGCAACGCGAAGAACCUUACCUACACUUGACAUGCAGAGAACUUUCUAGAGAUAGAUUGGUGCCUUCGGGAACUCUGACACAGGUGCUGCAUGGCUGUCGUCAGCUCGUGUCGUGAGAUGUUGGGUUAAGUCCCGCAACGAGCGCAACCCUUGUCCUUAGUUGCCAGCAUUUAGUUGGGCACUCUAAGGAGACUGCCGGUGACAACCGGAGGAAGGUGGGGACGACGUCAGUCAUCAUGGCCCUUA
This 1144-nucleotide ribosomal RNA is filed under the name Alteromonas sp. RNAcentral describes it as "bacterial SSU rRNA". The record is from RNAcentral. Lineage: Bacteria; Pseudomonadati; Pseudomonadota; Gammaproteobacteria; Alteromonadales; Alteromonadaceae.